Molecule: ribosomal RNA, 381 nt
Filed under: Clostridioides difficile
Lineage: Bacteria; Bacillati; Bacillota; Clostridia; Peptostreptococcales; Peptostreptococcaceae
Description: bacterial LSU rRNA
Rfam family: Bacterial large subunit ribosomal RNA
Source: RNAcentral
GUCGGAGGCUUAUAAGGGACAGUUUUGGCGUAGCCAUCCUUGGGAGACCACCCGUGUAGUACUGGGACUCUAACCAUAGGCCAUGAAUCUGGUCUUGGGACACUGGCAGGUGGGCAGUUUGACUGGGGCGGUCGCCUCCCAAAAGGUACCGGAGGCGCUCAAUGGUUCUCUCAGUACGGUCGGAAAGCGUACGUAGAGUGUAAAGGCAACAGAGAGCUUGAUUGCAAGACAGACAGGGCGAGCGAGGACGAACAUCGUGCUUAGUGAUCCGGUGGUGCGGCGUGGAGGUGCGAUCGCCCCACGGAUCAAAGCUCCCCUGGGUAAAGCAGGCUGAUCUCCCCCAAGAGUCCACAGCGACGGGGAGGUUUGGCACCUCGCUGU